Molecule: unclassified non-coding RNA, 253 nt
Filed under: uncultured Gammaproteobacteria bacterium
Lineage: Bacteria; Pseudomonadati; Pseudomonadota; Gammaproteobacteria
Description: contains 16S-23S intergenic spacer region
Rfam family: Bacterial small subunit ribosomal RNA
Source: RNAcentral
UACGGAGGGUGCGAGCGUUAAUCGGAAUUACUGGGCGUAAAGCGCGCGUAGGCGGCUUGAUCAGUCGGAUGUGAAAGCCCCGGGCUUAACCUGGGAACUGCAUUCGAUACUGUCUGGCUAGAGUAUGGUAGAGGGAAGUGGAAUUCCGGGUGUAGCGGUGAAAUGCGUAGAUAUCCGGAGGAACACCAGUGGCGAAGGCGACUUCCUGGACCAAUACUGACGCUGAGGUGCGAAAGCGUGGGGAGCAAACAGG